UGGGAAACUGAUACAUGGGCAGUUCUGAACUAUGCACUGUUCAUCACAAGCUUUCCCAAGAUAAUACUUGCUUUCUGAUGACCGGGGCGAAUUGAGAGAAAUCGCAACGGACAGAUACGGAGCAGACAGUC
Non-coding RNA from Pangasianodon hypophthalmus (striped catfish), 131 nucleotides. RefSeq annotates it as small Cajal body-specific RNA 8. Lineage: Eukaryota; Metazoa; Chordata; Actinopteri; Siluriformes; Pangasiidae. The transcript has a single exon. The record is from RefSeq and is a predicted model, not a curated record.